This 1061-nucleotide long non-coding RNA is filed under the name Cairina moschata (Muscovy duck). Its description in RNAcentral is "domestica (muscovy Duck (domestic type)) lncRNA (ENSCMMG00000009928.1)". Lineage: Eukaryota; Metazoa; Chordata; Aves; Anseriformes; Anatidae. The record is from RNAcentral.
AAGACACUCGAGUUCAGACAAAGCAACACAACAAUGCCUGUUGAUGCAGGCUUCCCAAGUAUUGUUUGUUGGAAAGCAAACCAAAUUCCAAAUCUUGUGCUUUUGACAUGCUUCACCUCAAAUGUGAGAACUGAAAUUCAGGUACCUUAAACAUGUCCUGAGAUGCAAAACACGAGCACCUUCUCGAGGACUCUGGUAUCAUUCUUUCUCACGUCACCACCUUGAACCGCAGAUAGCCAAAACACUGUCAGUGCUUUCCCUCUGAUGCUGCAGUUUUAGAGAGUAUUAUGCAUAUUGCAGAUGUGGUUUUCUUGCACUAGAUUGAAAAAAAAAAAAAAAAUCUUAUUAAAAAUGUAAAAGGAUUUCAGGUUUCUGUGCAUACUCAGAGAAAACAGAAACGUCAACAACAAACAUGCCAUCUGAACAACACGGAAGGACCUCUGUCCCAUGGGCAUAAUAGAUGUUUUAUUAAUAACAUGUUUUUAUGUAUUUUUCUCAUUUCCCAAAAUAGGGGGAAGAAAAGAAUGGUUUUUGAAAUCAAAACAUCUCCCCGGCUGGACAACUGAACACCCUCCCCAAAGCACGAGAAAUCAAACUAGGACCUGUACUUUUGGUGCUGCUGCAGAAAUUUGUGAAAUGCAAAUAAAGAUGAAGGCUGAUUUCAGAAGCAAUACCACCUUUCCCCAAGAUCAUCAUCAGAUGCUAGGUAAAUAUUGCUUUGUAACAAGUAGAGAAGAGAGGUGAUCCUUGAUAUCUGUGGUCUAAGGGGCUGCAUGCCAAGCCAGGAGAGUGCUGUACCUUCUGCUCAGGCAGCCCUGCAGUGGCUGGCAUUACAAGAAACUCCAUAAAAACUCUUUCUGAGAUGUAGAGAUUCCCUUUGACUCACAUAAAUCUUUAAUUGCUUCAGAGCCCAAAUACUUUCUACACAACCAAACCUUAGAUUUUACCUUGUGGACAAAAUCUUUUUUAAUCCCUUCUUAUCUGUACAGCUGGGGAUUCAUUCAUAAAAGAUUUUGAGCAUUUGACCCCAAGCAUGCCCCAGUGCAGAAGGAAUCUAUCAC